UGUUUUCUCCUCCUGGACCACUGUCCGGUACUGCCUGUGUUCCACCACCUGAAUAUAGUUUUAUCUGAUAUUUUGACCAGUUUGCAGGUUAUUUUCCUUGAACAGCAAGAUGACAAGUCUGACCCCAGUUACGUUAACAUGGCUGGAAGUUGAAAGCCUGCAACGAGGAUUUCAUUUUCAACCAUUUCUGUAAAGCCUGGCUGUGAAGACGUUGGUCAGAUGAACGGCUGUGCCUGGGAGUCACAAGUCACAAAACUACUCGCCUGGGGAGAGCAGACACAGUAUUAGGGCCUCGGAGAAUGGGAGUAAAGAAACGGGGAAAAAAAAUAAGUAAAUUACAUUUCCGAAAUUAUGCAGCUGGUAUGUUACAAGCAUCAAUCCAGAGCCAGGAAGAGGAUCAAAGGUAGAACAUUGACAGGCCCCGCCCCCUUCUUCAUCCAAAUGGCCACUGCUCUGAUUGUCCAUUAUGCGAUCAACAGUUAACCCCAGGGGACAGCAUCUAGGAUUUCCUAGGAUGGCUUUAUCAGCCUCCUUCCCUGCAGACUGUGUGGUGCAUCUUGGGAAGAGAAACUCCAAUUAACUACCAAAAGGAAAUAGUACACUAAGGGGGAGACACAUCUCAUGAUGGAAGGAAUGUAGAAGCCACAAAUGAUUCUGUUAGUGAGGGAAAUGCCAGCAUUCUGUGCUCCCUGAAAACCCCAGAAGAUGGCACCUUCCACAU
Myotis brandtii (Brandt's bat) is the source of this 721-nucleotide long non-coding RNA. RefSeq lists it as uncharacterized. The transcript is spliced from 6 exons. Lineage: Eukaryota; Metazoa; Chordata; Mammalia; Chiroptera; Vespertilionidae. The record is from RefSeq and is a predicted model, not a curated record.